This is a long non-coding RNA of Limulus polyphemus (Atlantic horseshoe crab), 890 nucleotides long. RefSeq lists it as uncharacterized. The transcript has 2 exons. The record is from RefSeq and is a predicted model, not a curated record. Lineage: Eukaryota; Metazoa; Arthropoda; Merostomata; Xiphosura; Limulidae.
UGACGGCAUGUAUAGAAUUGCAGAGACGGACAAUUGAGUCAAGCACGGUAGUAGCCUAUCUUUACUACUUUUUUUUUCUUGCCAUGACCAAUCACCAGAUAGAUUAUAGAUUGUGACAAAUUUUCCACGUAAAGUUUUUCCUUGUGAUCCUACAAGAGACAAUCCAGAACUGCCAUCCUUCGAAGAAACUGCUCUCAGUCAAUCAGAGAUGCUGUUUGUGGAGAACCUUGAUACAUGAAUCUACCAUUUUUGGUAAUGUUGCUUCUGUAAUAGCUUAUUAAUGAUGAAAUAAUUUGUUAUUUAUACAAAGUUAAAAUAUAAUCUAGUUUGCCACAAAAGUGGAAGUUUUUACUUUUUCUGAAUUCUCUUGUGAAUGAUUUGUACAAAAUGUAGACAACUGUAUGAUAUUAUAUGUGAAAAGUCAUCUGUUUAUGAUUUUAAACUAUUUUAUUUCAAAGGUUCAGACAGUGGUUACUUGCAUGAUUAAAUGAUUUUUGAAAGGAUGAAACAUUUCUCCAAAUUCACUGUCAUCAGUUUUGCUUAUGAGGCAAAAGAUAGUUGACUGUAAAGGGAUACAUUAUUUAUAAAGAACACUUGCAUAAUAACCCUGAGUAUAUGUGAGUUAAUUCUUGCACCCACUGACUAAAAUCAAAUAAACAAAAUCUGUUCUUAUCACCAAAUUUAUCUUUUUUAAGCUUCAUUGUUAGACAGUAAUUGUAUCGUGUGUGUGAACAGUGUUGAAAGUCAACAUGUAAGUACUCUGGCUCUUUAUGUGUUUGUUGCCCUGGAAAGCUGGUGGUGAAUUCAAAACAGUUAUGUCAGAUUGAAGAUUCAAAUGCUAAAUUUGUAUAGAUGUAAGUGAUAUUGAAAUAAACCAAUAUUUGAGAGUG